Molecule: microRNA, 21 nt
Filed under: Pristionchus pacificus
Lineage: Eukaryota; Metazoa; Nematoda; Chromadorea; Rhabditida; Neodiplogasteridae
Description: ppc-miR-2238b
Source: miRBase by way of RNAcentral
AAUGACAAUCGAGUGGGUGAG